RNAcentral lists this ribosomal RNA (497 nucleotides) under uncultured bacterium. RNAcentral describes it as "partial 16S ribosomal RNA". It matches the Rfam family "Bacterial small subunit ribosomal RNA", at positions 28 to 507 of the family's 1533-position model. The record is from RNAcentral.
GAUGAACGCUGGCGGCGUGCCUAAUACAUGCAAGUCGAGCGAACAGACGAGGAGCUUGCUCCUUUGACGUUAGCGGCGGACGGGUGAGUAACACGUGGGUAACCUACCUAUAAGACUGGGAUAACUUCGGGAAACCGGAGCUAAUACCGGAUAAUAUUUCGAACCGCAUGGUUCGAUAGUGAAAGAUGGCUUUGCUAUCACUUAUAGAUGGACCUGCGCCGUAUUAGCUAGUUGGUAAGGUAACGGCUUACCAAGGCAACGAUACGUAGCCGACCUGAGAGGGUGAUCGGCCACACUGGAACUGAGACACGGUCCAGACUCCUACGGGAGGCAGCAGUAGGGAAUCUUCCGCAAUGGGCGAAAGCCUGACGGAGCAACGCCGCGUGAGUGAUGAAGGUCUUCGGAUCGUAAAACUCUGUUAUUAGGGAAGAACAAACGUGUAAGUAACUGUGCACGUCUUGACGGUACCUAAUCAAAAAGCCACGGCUAACUACGUG